Molecule: ribosomal RNA, 427 nt
Filed under: uncultured bacterium
Lineage: Bacteria
Description: partial 16S ribosomal RNA
Rfam family: Bacterial small subunit ribosomal RNA
Source: RNAcentral
GUGGGGAAUAUUGGGCAAUGGGGGAAACCCUGACCCAGCGACGCCGCGUGAGGGAAGAAGGCCUUAGGGUCGUAAACCUCUGUUGUGUGGGAAGAAGAGCGUGACGGUACCACACGAGGAAGUCCCGGCUAACUACGUGCCAGCAGCCGCGGUAAUACGUAGGGGACGAGCGUUGUCCGGAUUUACUGGGCGUAAAGGGCGCGUAGGCGGUAAUUUAAGUCAGCUGUGAAAUGGUUUGGCUUAACCGGAUCAUGCGGUUGAAACUGGAUGACUGGAGUGCUGGAGAGGCAAGUGGAAUUCCCAGUGUAGCGGUGAAAUGCGUAGAUAUUGGGAAGAACACCGGUGGCGAAGGCGACUUGCUGGCCAGCAACUGACGCUGAGGCGCGAAAGCCAGGGGAGCAAACGGGAUUAGAAACCCCAGUAGUCC